UUUUCUCUCUGUGAAUUAUAAGAGGUUAAGCCCCAGACACCACUGGAAUGUCAUUCUCGUGACUAUAUUGAAGUUGAGAGGUUCUGCAGCUGCAGACUAUCCCGAACUUCAAUAUAUCUUUGCAUACAUUUAAUUCACUAACCAAAGUUUUUGACUCUGUUUAUAUCGUUUCAGUUUAAUGGUUCGUCUACAGUUCCACGUUCAAGGCCUUCUUCUGGAUAAAGUUUAAUAGUUCAUCUACGGAUCCACGUUCGGUUUCUGGUUCUGGAUGAAGGUCAUUGGUUG
Non-coding RNA from Pelobates cultripes (western spadefoot toad), 285 nucleotides. The record is from the annotation of a GenBank genome assembly. Lineage: Eukaryota; Metazoa; Chordata; Amphibia; Anura; Pelobatidae.